AUUGAACGCUGGCGGCAUGCCUUACACAUGCAAGUCGAACGGCAGCACGGGAGCAAUCCUGGUGGCGAGUGGCGAACGGGUGAGUAAAGUAUCGGAACGUGCCCAGUCGUGGGGAUAACGUAGCGGAAGUUACGCUAAUACCGCAUACGAUCUAUGGAUGAAAGCGGGGGAUCGCAAGACCUCGCGCGAUUGGAGCGGCCGAUAGCAGAUUAGGUAGUGGGUAGGGUAAAGGCUCACCAAGCCGACGAUCUGUAGCUGGUCUGAGAGGACGACCAGCCACACUGGGACUGAGACACGGCCCAGACUCCUACGGGAGGCAGCAGUGGGGAAUUUUGGACAAUGGGCGAAAGCCUGAUCCAGCCAUGCCGCGUGCAGGAUGAAGGCCUUCGGGUUGUAAACUGCUUUUGUACGGAACGAAAAGGUUUGGCCUAAUAAGCUGAGCUCAUGACGGUACCGUAAGAAUAAGCACCGGCUAACUACGUGCCAGCCGCCGCAGUAA
This 499-nucleotide ribosomal RNA is filed under the name uncultured bacterium. RNAcentral's name for it is "partial 16S ribosomal RNA". It matches the Rfam family "Bacterial small subunit ribosomal RNA", at positions 30 to 523 of the family's 1533-position model. The record is from RNAcentral.